GAUUCCCCUAGUAACUGCGAGUGAAGCGGGAAAAGCUCAAAUUUGAAAUCUGGCAGUCUUUUUUUUCUUCUUUUGGCUGUCCGAGUUGUAAUCUAGAGAAGUGCUUACCUGCAUUGGACCAUGUAUAAGUCUCCUGGAAUGGAGCGUCACAGAGGGUGAGAAUCCCGUCUUUGACAUGGACUGCCAGUGUGUUGUGGUGUGCUCUCAAAGAGUCGAGUUGUUUGGGAAUGCAGCUCUAAAUGGGUGGUAAACUCCAUCUAAAGCUAAAUAUUGGCGAGAGACCGAUAGUGAACAAGUACCGUGAGGGAAAGAUGAAAAGGACUUUGGAAAGAGAGUUAAACAGUAUGUGRAAUUGUUGAAAGGGAAACGCUUGAAGUCAGUUAUGUUGGCUAGGGAUCAACUUGGCUAUUUUUUUUUGCUGGGUGAUUUUCCUAGUUUGACAGGCCAACAUCAGUUUUGACUGCUGGAAAAGAGCAGAGGGAAUGUGGCACCUUCGGGUGUGUUAUAGCCUUUUGUCAUAUGUGGCAGUUGGGACUGAGGGAUGCAGUGUGCCGUGAGGCUGGGUUUUUGACCACGUUCACGCUUAGGAUGUUGGCUUUUAAUGGCUUCAAUCGACCCGUCUUGAAACACGGACCAAGGAGUCUAACAUGCCUGCGAGUAUUUGGGUGGGGAAAACCCUUGUGCACAAUGAAAGUGAAAGUUGAGAUCCCUGUCAUGGGGAGCAUCGACGCCCGGACCUGAGCUUUUAGCGAUGGAUCCGCGGUAGAGCAUGCAUGUUGGGACCCGAAAGAUGGUGAACUAUGCCUGAAUAGGGCAAAGCCAGAGGAAACUCUGGUGGAGGCUCGUAGCGAUUCUGACGUGCAAAUCGAUCGUCAAAUUUGGGUAUAGGGG
This 891-nucleotide ribosomal RNA is filed under the name Amanita sp. Its description in RNAcentral is "partial large subunit ribosomal RNA". Lineage: Eukaryota; Fungi; Basidiomycota; Agaricomycetes; Agaricales; Amanitaceae. The record is from RNAcentral.